Non-coding RNA from Triticum urartu, 6743 nucleotides. The record is from RefSeq and is a predicted model, not a curated record. Lineage: Eukaryota; Viridiplantae; Streptophyta; Magnoliopsida; Poales; Poaceae.
UUUAUGGUUUUUCCCUGCUCGUUUUGUGGUCGCAAGAAAAACCCUAGCCCAUUCCCGUCCGCAUCCCUGCCGCCGCCGCCGCCCUCCCAGUUCCCUCUGCUCCUGCUGCUUCCCUCCACCUCUCCCUCCUCCAUGCCGUCAGGGGCGCCCCUCAAGCCCCACCUCAUCGGUUCCUCACCCCGGGCUCCUUCUCCCCCGCCCAUGCUGCUCUCUGUGCGCGGUGACCGGACAGAGGAGGAAGAUCAGGAGGGCCGCAGGGAUGAAGGAGGAGGUAGAGCCGUUCACGUCGCCGCCGCCGUCUUCCUCGCCCUCAGCAUGCGGGCCGCAGCGCUCCACCUCCUUGGCAUCUCCGUCUGGUCUGCAGAUGAUGAGAAAUAAGGGACGGGAGCAAGAUGUGAGGAUGUGGAGACGCUAUGUUGCCUCCAUCCCUGGCCUUCUUCUUGGCGUGUACUCGUUGGUCAUGCUCCGCUUCCUCCACUCCCACCUCUCGGCCUCGACACCUCUGCGUAUUUCUCCAUCACUCUCUUGCAGGUACUCACUCUACUCCUCCUCUGCUUUCAGUUAGUCUGCAAUUUUUUCAUCCUUGCUUAUGUAGGUUAUUGUUGAAAUCCAACAAGGCCACUGUGGAACUCAGUGAUUUGUUUCUCAAAUACGUCUGUGUUGUGUGAUUUGCUAUGCAAGCUAUAUAUGGAUAAAUUGCAGGGGAAAUAUAAUUGUGCUGGAUUGUUCGAGACAUCCAUCACAUAAUUUUCUCAGAUUUAGAACUCAUGCAGAUGUUGUUAUCUUUUCAGGUAUGUGCUGAGAAUCCUAGGUGCGGCGACCUCAACAAUGUCCCAUCGUUGCCGGCGGUCUCCUAUAUGCUCCUGCGGAAUAAGUUCUUCCUGACCACCUCGACACUCACCGCCACCGAGGAAUCCAGGGACAAGACUACCACCAAGUUGCUCAUCCGCCUUCAGGUGCAGACGGUGGGCUCUGCGUGGUCGAACCUAAGGUAGUUCCUUUCAAGGGCUAAUACCAAUGAGGUGUACCAGGUGCGCUGGCUCAUGCCACCGCAUCCACCGACAGCAAGGUGGAGAAUGAGGCGCUCAAGGAGAGGGAGACCAGGAUGGUGCUUGUGUCUAUACGGUGACAGCGUGGACCUCUUCUUCGCAGCGAGGACGAAGUUGCAUGUCCCAAAUCGUUAGGGGCUAGGCUGUUUCCGCGUCGAGGAGUUCAUUUUGGCAGACGGAACUUUUGAAAGCUAGAAUAUUUUGGUGAAAUGUGAAGGGCUGCUUCAGUUUACCCAUAGUGUUAUUUCUAGAUGAACAAGGAGUGGUGACAUUGUGAGAUGGUGAAGCCAGAGCAUUGUCGAUGAAACUAGCCGAGGAGGAAUUGUGAGUUCACCUCCCUCUCCUUUGCAUCGGUUGUAUUUUCUCUCCUCUUUGUGCCCAUAUAUGUUAUGUUUCCCCGGGUCGGUGUGAAGUGAGCACGCAGUUUGUCAUCGUUCAUCAAUCGUCCGUCCUGUUCGUCUUCACUUCGUUCGAUGUGCCUUUCCGUUGCGGAGGUGUGUUUUGUUAUUUUAUCUUGUUGCACUUGUUAAUAUGAAAUCACGUCUUAAAGGAUUCAGAAGGUUAUACUUCAGUUUAGUUAUUGUGUUCUUAAGAUUUCUAUACGAACUUUACUCCUUUCUACAAGACUAGCCAUCAAAUUAUGAUAACUGAACCAUUGAAAAACUAUAGAAGGAUUAGUGGCAAUAAAACCUUAGGUUAGUUCUACCCUUUAUUUUGUUAUAAUUUCUCUGUUCUGGUAAUGAAAAAGAUGACCACGCAGAUUAAAGGUUUAGAAACUAUAAAAGGAUCUGAACAUGAAGCUUAAUCUGCUGAAUUUUCACUUCAGUAGUCCCUCGGCUUCGAGAGUAUACACAAUAUUUGAUUGUUGCUUCUCAAUGAUGCUACCAAAAAUUGGACACCCUGGCGUCGGAGAGACGGACCAGGAGGCCGAGCAGUCCGUGGUGUCGCCGCCGUCGUCCUCAUCCCUCGUGCGUGGUGACGGAGAGAGGCGAUCCGUCUGGAGCUCGAGUAUAGUUGACCGCGUCUCUUUUCUUUCUCUUCUUUCGCACGUCUCUUUUUCUGUAGCUGUUUGAAGGCUUAUGAUGCAUGGUCACUGACUGUAUUGGAGAUGUAACAUGGUUUGUUAGGUUCAGCCAUUGUGCAAUCUGCACUAACAGGCAUGUGCCCAGCUAAGAGCAAUCUGUAGGAUAUAAUCUAGGAUUUGCUGCAAUUAUCUGCUUCAAUUUAUAGGUAUAAGUACUUCAAAUUCCUUCAAUGGUUGGGAGACAUAUGAAUUUGAUUACACUACUAUUUCAAUUACUGGAUGGUUAUUUUCAGUGUUAUUUAUGACCAUUACUGUACUUAAUAUGGUAUCAAGGUUACAGCCGAAUGUAUCUUGUACCAUACCACCCAUGGAUCUAAGUACAAAUAAUAAUGAGCAAUGAUUUCUCAGGCUAAAAAAAUUCUGCUAUCUCACUCAAGAGCAAUAAUAUACCCACUGAAGACUGACAGAAAACUGUAACCUUACUUUGAGUAGUGCAUCUCACAAUAACAGUUGUCCUCUCUUUUUACAUGUUUUAAAAAUCUGCAUAUUUUCUUGUAAUGAUUUCGGUAACAAAAUUGAAUGGCGCGGUGUAUGCUCACAUAUCCCCGCUCUUACAAGCUACCAUAAGGCAUGUUUCAGACUGUUAGUGUAUACUAUAUUGCUUACUCUGACAUUGGAUUUUGUGUUAACUGCUAUAUUAUAUAUUUUUGUUUCUUAGGAGCCGCCUCCUCUUUUACUGAUAAAAACUGGUCGGAGGGGAUCUGCUUUUUCCCCUGAUCUUCUCCGCGAUUGGGAGCCUGAGCCAUGGCUGACCCAUUCAUUGCUGUGCCUACCUCCUUGCCGGAUUUGGUGAUGAUGCCAAAGGAAACAAUGGGUUGUUGGGAUACCCGGAAUUAUCUUCUAUCAGCACUUGCAUUCAAAACCCAAACUGACCUUUAAUUUAAUGGAACGUACGUACAUUCACUGAUUUGUAUACUUAUUAGGUUGCCCAGAAGAACAUAGAUGUUGGUUUCAUAAUAUGUAUUUAUGGAUUGUAACCUACGUUUAUCAAUACGUCCAUUAUAUGCAUACGGCAAUUUUUAUUAAGGUGAUCUGGUGCUCUUCUUUUUCUUUCGACUUACGCGUGGUGGUUAUAAGCCAAGGAAUAGUGGAAGUGCAUCACAAUUCUCUCUUGUAUGAUCAACCAUGUACAUUACCUGAUAUCAUCUAAUGCACGUGGCUCAUUAUCGUGCAAAUGGCUCCAGCAAAACCUAAUAAAAAUGCUAAUCAGGCUCAAGGUGCAUGUUUUCCAACAAGUAGACUAAACAUGUUGGCAAGUAGAUACGCUAAAAAAAGCAUGUCGACAAGUAGAGAAAAAGGACUAGGAGGGACGAUUAAGUUCAACAAUACUUGACAUAUGCUCAUUUGUUUUUCUAAUAUGGUGCUAUGGUGGCGUUCAUUUGUCUGUUGUACCAUUUGGUCGUGUCGCUGUAUGAUGGCGUUCAAUUGUCUGAAUUUGGAUCGCGGUGCAGGUCUCGGCAGCACCCAAAUAUUCACACAUAUUGGUGAUAGUCUGAUAGGCCUUUUGGGAUUUGCAGUGUAUGUGGAUCUUGGCAGAGCAGAGUCACUUAACCCUGUGAGUCCAUUAUAUCAUGCAUGUAGUGAAUGCGUGCAUCCAGUCAGUGAAUAAUGGUUGUAACGAUAAGUUUGUGUAUUUGUUUUAUUGAUCAAUGUGUGCGCCGCACGCUGAGUAACCUAACUUCUGAAAGUUAUGGCUGUAGUUACAAGUAUGCACUAGCAUAUUGGUUUGUUUUCUGAUUCUGGUGGGAUUAUGUCUUCAUUGUAUUUCCCAACAUUUAUAACUGGUUACUCUGAAUUGGUUAAUUGCUUUGCAAAAUUUUCUGUGAUGAACUACGAUGAUGAAAGUUGUACUGGGUAAGUUAGUUUUCCUGAGAACUUACCAUGGGUCAAACUAGUAUUAAGUUAAUCAAGUUGUUUGAAAUGAUAUUAGCAGACAUGACUCGCUUCAUGUUGGUUCUGAAUUCUACUCAUUGUCAGUUCUCUUUUAGUCGUUUUGUUUCAGCGAGUGCCUACAAGGUAUCUGCGGAGGUUAACUGAAUUAUUUUCCCAUUUGAUGUGUGACAUCCGUAAAUAGCUACUAGAGAUAAUUACUAGAUUAUAUCACUAUGUUGAAGUUCUCUUAAAUUAUCAUGCUCUGUCCACGAGUUGGAUCACUUGUGUCUUCUGGAUAGUUGUUGCUUGAGUUUAAUUUUACAUUGUGCUUAUGAGAUGAUAGUUAUACCUUACAUGAGAUCCAUCAUUCAUAUUGUUGUUUCUUCAUACUAUUUCUGUUAAAAUCUACAUUUCUUCUGUACAUGAAGUCAAAUAGUCAAUAGUUGUUGGAUCAUUCAGGUUUUCCUUUUCUUUGUUGUACUAUAUGAAGUGCGUAUAUUUUUAAUCAUUACACUGAUUUUGCCGACAGUGCCGGCAUACAUGUCCCUUUCGUCAUUGCCAUCAUCCUAGCAUCUAGAGGUAGAUCAAACGUUCUAUAAAAGAUCCCAGGCCUCUUUUUCUCUCAUCAAAUUUGAGAACAUUUUUUUUAGGUCUGUCAUCUAUUAUUAUGGUCAUAAUUUGAUCUCUUGAUAGAAGUUAAAUGAAGGGGGAACACCUGUUUGGAGGAGGGAAACAAGUACAUAAUAUAUUUUUCUUUCCUUCAUUUGUGCCCUCUAAAUACUUGUCAUUUCUUUGGCAGGUUAGAGAGUAUCAAGGAUACAACAUCAUUUUGAAAAUCCGAAUUUGGCUAAUCCAUGUGUACUGGACCUGUUUUUGAAGUUGUUCUGUCUCAUUUUUGUGAAGUGAACAUGCUUUUGCUAGCUGAACUUUACAAAGAGCUUAGCCUCUUCAUCCAUCGUGCACUAGUCUCUCUCUCCACAUCAUCCUUUUCUUUGGUCUCUAGGUGGGGCUGUGCAUUUGAUUGGAUUUUGUGGUGGCCUGGUUGGGAAAAGGAAGGUGCAUCUAUUUUUGUUUGCUUCAGUUCUCCCUUUUGGAUUGAGUUGUUGCUAGCUUGCCAUGAAGUUCCUUUACUUGAUAAGAAAUUUUAGUUUGAAAUAUGUGGUCAUUGGGAGUUCAGAAAAGGUGGCAAGCAGGGAAGUCACUACUUUGUACUUGUAUUGUUUCCUUUUACCCAAGUGCCUUCAUAGGAUACUACAUAUUUUUCAGUUUUACAUCAUUCGUUGUUACUAAACCACAACAGUACUACGGACUUGCACGUACCAGUGCUUCAUAUAUGUCGUACUCUGACUGAUGAAAUAACAUCACAUAGUGCAUACAAGAAAGUGUAAAGGACGCUUACCUAAUUGGCACCGCCGAGUUUCCUCUCAGGAGGCGCCCCUGAGGGGCGCCUCAACCACUAGUUUGAGCAACAAAUGUAGCCUAAUAAUAAACCACCUAGUGUUGCUUCUGAAAUUAAACUGAAAAGUGCAUGUUUACUUGUCAUCAAAUCUGAUAUUGAUGAUUUAGAUUUUAGCAAAUCUAUUUGCAAUGCUUCUGUGUGUAAAGAGGCAUUAUUUUCAUUCGAGGACGUACUUUCCUUUUUGUCUCCUACUGUCACUAACAUUUUUCAGGAGUUUGCUGACAUCUUUUCAUAAGAUGUGCCGUCGGGAUUAUCACCUACUCAUGGGAUUGAGCAUCAAAUUGACUUAAUUCCCGGUGCACCAUUACACAACCGUGCACCAUACCGUACCAAUCCAGAGGUGACAAAGUAGAUUAUGCGUCAAGUACAAGAACUGCUCGACAAAGGUUAUAUACGUGAAUCCCUUAAUCCUUAUGCUGUUUCUAUCAUUUUAGUGCUGAAAAAGGAUGGUACGUCGCGUAUGUGCGUUGAUUUUAGAUGCAUUAAUAAUAUUACUAUUCGUUAUCGUCAUCCUAUUCCUAGGCUAGAUGAUAUGCUUGAUGAAUUGAGUGGCUCUACAAUAUUCUUCAAAGUUGAUUUGCGUAGUGGAUACCAUCAAAUUUGUAUGAAAUUGGGAGAUGAAUGGAAAACUGCAUUUAAAACUAAGUUUGGUUUAUAUGAGUGGUUAGUCAUGCCUUUUGGAUUAACUAAUGCAUUUAGUACUUUCAUGAGGUUAAUGAUGAAGUUUUACGUGCUUUCAUUAGACGAUUUAUGGUAGUUUACUUUGAUGACAUAUUGAUUUAUAGCAAAUCUUUGGAGAAACAUUUGAAACAUUUACGUGCUGUUUUUAUUGCUCUACGUGAUGCAUGUUUGUUUGGUAACCUUGGAAAGUGUACCUUUUGCAUCGAACGAGUAUAUUUUCUUGUCUAUGUUGUUACUCCACAGGGAAUUGAAGUUGAUAAAGUCAAGAUUGAAGCUAUUGAGAGUUGGCGGCAGCCCAAAACGGUCACACAAGUGAGGAGUUUCCUUGACCUCGCUGGUUUCUAUAGGCGUUUUGUGAGAGAUUUCAGCACCAUUGCUGCACCUCUCAACGAGCUUACAAAGAAGGACGUGCUUUUUGUUUGGGGUACCGCACAGGAAGAGCAUUCACGGUAGCUCCAUUCGUCUUUUGUUAUUGCAGGAGGCGCAUGGAGGAGGAUUAAUGGGACACUUUGGCGUUAAGAAGACGGAGGAUAUACUUGCUACAUAUUUCUUUUGGCCAAAGAUGAGAUGGGAUGUUGAGCGUUUUGUUGCUCGCUGC